RNAcentral lists this ribosomal RNA (451 nucleotides) under uncultured bacterium. RNAcentral's name for it is "partial 16S ribosomal RNA". It matches the Rfam family "Bacterial small subunit ribosomal RNA", at positions 354 to 796 of the family's 1533-position model. The record is from RNAcentral.
GUGGGGAAUAUUGGACAAUGGGGGGAACCCUGAUCCAGCCAUGCCGCGUGUGUGAAGAAGGCCUUUUGGUUGUAAAGCACUUUAAGUGGGGAGGAGGCUUACCUGGUUAAUACCUAGGCUAAGUGGACGUUACCCACAGAAUAAGCACCGGCUAACUCUGUGCCAGCAGCCGCGGUAAUACAGAGGGUGCGAGCGUUAAUCGGAUUUACUGGGCGUAAAGCGCGCGUAGGUGGUUAAUUAAGUCAAAUGUGAAAUCCCCGAGCUGAGCUUGGGAAUGGCAUUCGAUACUGGUUAGCUAGAGUAUGGGAGAGGAUGGUAGAAUUCCAGGUGUAGCGGUGAAAUGCGUAGAGAUCUGGAGGAAUACCGAUGGCGAAGGCAGCCAUCUGGCCUAAUACUGACACUGAGGUGCGAAAGCAUGGGGAGCAAACAGGAUUAGAUACCCUGGUAGUCC